UCCGUAGGUGAACCUGCGGAAGGAUCAUUAACCUUUCAAAAAACAGGGUGCGUCGCGGCCCCCCUCCGGGGGCGGUUUGGGGUCCUCCCCUUCACGCGCGCACGACUGCAUCCUUACUUUACGAGCACCUUCUGUUCUCCCUCGGCGGGGCAACCUGCCGUUGGAACCGAAUAAACCCUUUUUUGCAUCCAGCAUUACCCGUUCCGAAACAAACAAUCGUUACAACUUUCAACAAUGGAUCUCUUGGCUCUGGCAUCGAUGAAGAACGCAGCGAAAUGCGAUAAGUAGUGUGAAUUGCAGAAUUCAGUGAAUCAUCGAAUCUUUGAACGCACAUUGCGCCCCUUGGUAUUCCGGGGGGCAUGCCUGUUCGAGCGUCAUCUACACCCUCAAGCUCUGCUUGGUGUUGGGCGUCUGUCCCGCCUCAGCGCGCGGACUCGCCCCAAAUCCAUUGGCAGCGGUCCUUGCCUCCUCUCGCGCAGCACAUUGCGCUUCUCGAGGGGCUCCGGCCCGCGUCCAACAAGAAAACAUUACCGUCUUUGACCUCGGAUCAGGUAGGGAUACCCGCUGAACUUAAGCAUAUG
This 581-nucleotide unclassified non-coding RNA is filed under the name Pithomyces sp. 'cf. maydicus/graminicola MUCL 48406'. RNAcentral describes it as "Pithomyces cf. maydicus/graminicola MUCL 48406 sequence contains ITS1, 5.8S rRNA gene and ITS2". The stretch from base 224 to 377 matches the Rfam family "5.8S ribosomal RNA". Lineage: Eukaryota; Fungi; Ascomycota; Dothideomycetes; Pleosporales; Astrosphaeriellaceae. The record is from RNAcentral.